This 441-nucleotide ribosomal RNA is filed under the name uncultured bacterium. Its description in RNAcentral is "partial 16S ribosomal RNA". It matches the Rfam family "Bacterial small subunit ribosomal RNA", at positions 338 to 794 of the family's 1533-position model. The record is from RNAcentral.
CCUACGGGUGGCUGCAGUGGGGAAUAUUGGGCAAUGGGCGAAAGCCUGACCCAGCAACGCCGCGUGAAGGAAGAAGGCUUUCGGGUUGUAAACUUCUUUUGACAGGGAAGAGCAGAAGACGGUACCUGUCGAAUAAGCCACGGCUAACUACGUGCCAGCAGCCGCGGUAAUACGUAGGUGGCAAGCGUUGUCCGGAUUUACUGGGUGUAAAGGGCGUGUAGCCGGGCUGACAAGUCAGAUGUGAAAUCCGGGGGCUCAACCCCCGAACUGCAUUUGAAACGGUUGGUCUUGAGUAUCGGAGAGGCAGGCGGAAUUCCUGGUGUAGCGGUGAAAGGGGUAGAUAUAUGGAGGAACACCGGUGGCGAAAGCGGCUCUCUGGCCUGUAACUGACACUGAGGCUCGAAAGCGUGGGGAGCAAACAGGAUUAGAUACCCGAGUAGU